Long non-coding RNA from Equus caballus (horse), 2070 nucleotides. The record is from Ensembl. NCBI's taxonomy places the organism in Eukaryota, Metazoa, Chordata, Mammalia, Perissodactyla, Equidae.
GCCAAGGGGGCGGGCAUGCGCUGUUGUUCAACUCAUUGGCCAGAGCAGUGUCACAUGACUGCCUGCAGAGGGGCGGGAAAUGUCAUGUUUCCAUCUCAUUGGCCAGAGCGGCUUCACCUGACUGCAGACAGAGGGCUGUGAUGUUUUUAAGUAGAAGCAUUGUUGUCCUUGACAAAGUAGAGGCCGUGUUAACAAAAGAGAAAAGGAAGGAUACCAUCUAUCAGAAGUUACCUCAGCAAUUUAAUAACAGCUUCUGAGGGGGAAAGAAAACAGAAAGAAGGAUGAAAUUAAAUGUCUAGAUCAAUUGAAAGAAGCAUCUUCUUUUGGACAGUUUGAAAUGUAUGCCCCAGAAUUGAAGAAAUGCAAUAUUAAUAUCAAAAGGCGGUUUCUAGAUUUCGGAUUCCUGGAAACGCUCCCAGGAACCGCCAAAGAGGAAGAGCAGAAGCAGCGCUGUUCCCGCGAACAGAGUAGAGUUCUAUUCUGCUACCAACUGGCCGAGGGACGCGGGGACGUCCCCUGCUCACUGUCUUCAGUUUUCUGUGGGACAAUGAGCCUCAGGCCUCCUAGCCCUGACUCUGGCAGAAGAGCAAAUUCCUUGGCCUGACCCAGCGGCACGUGCGGGCUCCUGGGGAGGGGCGUGGCCGACCCGGCCUCCCCCAGUGACCUGCACCUCCCCUCAGGCCCAGAGUGAAGAGCAGGGCAGCGGAGGCCACACUGCCAGGACCCUGGGCCUCGGGACGCAGCAGGCCGGGUUCCCAGCCUCCUCCCUGUGCGUUUGCUGGAGUCCUGUACCCACUCUUGGCGCCAGCCUGUCCCCAUCUCUGCCCUCCCCGCCCUGCCAUCCUAGACUGGCUCCCAGGAUGCCUGGAAGGCAGACUCUGGCAGCCUGUGAGUGGGUGGGAGGGAGGGCAGGACCCCAGAGGAGAAGGGAGAAGAAAUCAUGGGCUCCAAGUGGGUGCAUUUACUCCCAUCUGCUCCAGGUUAUCUUUAAAUAGGAUAAAAUUACCCUCUCAGCUCCUUUAUCUCCAUGCAGUACUUCUAAAAAAAGAGCAUCUUGACAUUUUAGGAGGAAAAAAAUAAGGAGAAGAUGAGACAUGUAAUAUCCAGUGUAUACUGAGGAUGGAGAAAUUUCAAUGAACUCAUAGUCAAACCUCCUUAAUGUCUUGAAAAAGAAAACCACACCGGGGUCUGAUGUCGGGAGGGGAGGAGAGUAUUCCAGGAGGAAAGCCCGGCUCCGAGACCUGGGACUCAGGGACAUGGGAAGGAGACUUCGGUCAAGGUCACAGCAACAGGCACUAGAAGCAGAGUGAUGGGUCUUCGAGCUGAUGUGAGACUGCAGGCAGCACGUUCAAGGAGAAAGAGGAUGAACUUGGAAGCAGACACACCUGCCUUCAGAUCCUGGUUCUAUCAUUUGCCAGCCACGUGACCUUGGCAAAUGGCUUCAGUAGAUACAAUAUUGCUAAUUGGAAACAACGAGAAUGACUUUAUACCCUGUAUCUUUUUGAAAUCUCUACGCUCUAAGGAUUAUUUGUAUCCUACGAGAGGCCCAAAGAUGGUCCAAAGAAAAUAACACUGUCCACAAACUACUGGAGCGCCUGCCUGAGAACCGCAGGACUCAGGAUCGUCAGCCUCCCGGGACGCGGUGGCGGGAUGACGGAGUUCUCCUCCAGGUCCCCCGAGAAUGCUGUCCUCGCCCCGCAGGCGUCUUCGCUGCAGGCUGAGUAGGACUCUGAGAUGGUCUUGUGCACGCUGAGCCCAACUGCUGGUCCGUGUCGACUGCAACCUGACUGACAGAGACCAAUAAAAAUAAUAUGACCCUUUCCUUUUGAAAUGUCCUCUAAUAACUCCAUUAGUUUCGCAGCCAAACCAAGGCAUGGAAAUUCCAGAACAACAGAGAAGUUUGUGCCACUCCCCCCCAGCUAUGGGGACUGUUCUCCCAAUCACAUAACUCGUAACCUCACCAAGGGCCUCUGUAGCCGUGAAAUGCUCUGGCCAGUGGGUGAGGGGCUGUAGGUGGACAGUGUCUGUGGGCAGACCAAGCUAAUGUUGUUGGAGCGGAGCAGGUCACCG